UCAAUGUCCAUUUUGGGAUCUUUUAAAUAAUGAAGGACUAGUCUUGGCACCAAGGAGUGGAAUGAUAGAGAGGUAAACCAAGAUAUUGGAUAGGUAAUUUAGAGACCUGAUAGCCAAGCAUUUCGCCGAAGGUGUUCCCCAACUGAUCUAAAACUCCCAAACCUACCAACUGAGAUUUGAGAAAGUUGAUUUUCAAAUUAGUUGUCAGCUCAACGGCAUACAAAAUGAA
RNAcentral lists this long non-coding RNA (229 nucleotides) under Elaeis guineensis (African oil palm). RNAcentral's name for it is "long non-coding RNA (EGUI_LNC048067)". The record is from RNAcentral. Lineage: Eukaryota; Viridiplantae; Streptophyta; Magnoliopsida; Arecales; Arecaceae.